CCUACGGGAGGCAGCAGUGGGGAAUAUUGCACAAUGGGGGAAACCCUGAUGCAGCGACGCCGCGUGAGUGAAGACGUAAUUCGUUAUGUAAAGCUCUAUCAGCGGGGAAGAAAAUGACGGUACCUGAGUCAGAAGCCCCGGCUAACUACGUGCCAGCAGCCGCGGUAAUACGUAGGGGGCAAGCGUUAUCCGGAUUUACUGGGUGUAAAGGGAGCGUAGACGGCAGUGCAAGUCUGGAGUGAAAGGCGGGGGCUCAACCCCCGGACGGCUCUGGAAACUGUACGGCUGGAGUGCAGGAGAGGGAAGUGGAAUUCCUAGUGUAGCGGUGAAAUGCGUAGAUAUUAGGAGGAACACCAGUGGCGAAGGCGGCUUACUGGACUGUAACUGACGUUGAGGCUCGAAAGCGUGGGGAGCAAACAGGAUUAGAUACCCCUGUAGUC
This 440-nucleotide ribosomal RNA is filed under the name uncultured bacterium. RNAcentral describes it as "partial 16S ribosomal RNA". It matches the Rfam family "Bacterial small subunit ribosomal RNA", at positions 338 to 795 of the family's 1533-position model. The record is from RNAcentral.